Notothenia coriiceps (black rockcod) is the source of this 283-nucleotide long non-coding RNA. RefSeq lists it as uncharacterized. The transcript has 3 exons. The record is from RefSeq and is a predicted model, not a curated record. NCBI's taxonomy places the organism in Eukaryota, Metazoa, Chordata, Actinopteri, Perciformes, Nototheniidae.
AGAUGCAGGGAGCCAGCUUGUAGCACAAGAGGCGGUGAGGAAACCUUCAACGCUCCGCCGCCCGCCUGCACGCACAGGAGAGCCCAUCUCUAGUUGCCUGAACUGCAGCCGGAUCACAGCUCUGACAGACCGGCUGAGCUCUCUGGAGGCCAAGGUCCAAUUACUCACUGUCCCGGCCUCCGUAUCACAGCGCCUCCCUCAGGUUAAAGGAGAAACUGCACCAGAGGCCUCAUUACUGAUUGGUGCUGUGCAGGCUCAGGGAGCUCCUGGUGAGCAGGGACCU